This 855-nucleotide ribosomal RNA is filed under the name uncultured bacterium. RNAcentral describes it as "bacterial SSU rRNA". It matches the Rfam family "Bacterial small subunit ribosomal RNA", at positions 28 to 896 of the family's 1533-position model. The record is from RNAcentral.
GAUGAACGCUAGCGGCAGGCCUAAUACAUGCAAGUCGAACGGUGUCUUCGGACAUAGUGGCGCACGGGUGCGUAACACGUAUGCAACCUACCUUACAUUGGGGGAUAGCCUUUCGAAAGGGAGAUUAAUACCGCAUAAGACAGUAGCUGGGCAUCCAGCAGCUGUUAAAGAUUUAUCGAUGUAAGAUGGGCAUGCGACCAAUUAGUUAGUUGGCGAGGUAACGGCUCACCAAGACUAUGAUUGGUAGGGGAACUGAGAGGUCAAUCCCCCACACUGGCGCUGAGAUACGGGCCAGACUCCUACGGGAGGCAGCAGUAGGGAAUAUUGGGCAAUGGACGCAAGUCUGACCCAGCCAUGCCGCGUGCAGGAUGAAGGCGUUAUGCGUCGUAAACUGCUUUUAUACAGGAAGAAACGACUCUUGCGAGAGGCAUUGACGGUACUGUAUGAAUAAGCACCGGCUAACUCCGUGCCAGCAGCCGCGGUAAUACGGAGGGUGCAAGCGUUGUCCGGAUUUAUUGGGUUUAAAGGGUGCGCAGGUGGUUUAUUAAGUCAGUGGUGAAAGACGGUCGCUCAACGAUUGCAGUGCCAUUGAAACUAGUAGACUUGAGUAAAGUAGAGGUGGGCGGAAUUGAUAGUGUAGCGGUGAAAUGCAUAGAUAUUAUCAAGAACUCCAAUUGCGUAGGCAGCUCACUUGGCUUUUACUGACACUCAUGCACGAAAGUGUGGGUAUCAAACAGGAUUAGAUACCCUGGUAGUCCACACUGUAAACGAUGAUAACUAGGUGUCGGCCGAAUCUGGUCGGUGCCACAGCGAAAGCGUUAAGUUAUCCACCUGGGGAGUACGCCGGCAACGGUG